CAGCCGCCACGGUAAUACGGAGGGUGCGAGCGUUAAUCGGAAUUACUGGGCGUAAAGCGUGCGUAGGUGGUUGUAUAAGUUAUCUGUGAAAUUCCUGGGCUCAACCUGGGCAGGUCAGAUAAUACUGUAUGACUCGAGUAUGGGAGAGGGUAGUGGAAUUUCCGGUGUAGCGGUGAAAUGCGUAGAGAUCGGAAGGAACACCAGUGGCGAAGGCGGCUACCUGGCCUAAUACUGACACUGAGGCACGAAAGCGUGGGGAGCAAACAGGAUUAGAUACCCCAGUAGUCCCUGUCUCUUAUAC
This 301-nucleotide ribosomal RNA is filed under the name uncultured bacterium. RNAcentral's name for it is "partial 16S ribosomal RNA". It matches the Rfam family "Bacterial small subunit ribosomal RNA", at positions 509 to 807 of the family's 1533-position model. The record is from RNAcentral.